Long non-coding RNA from Hydra vulgaris (swiftwater hydra), 1090 nucleotides. RefSeq lists it as uncharacterized. The record is from RefSeq and is a predicted model, not a curated record. Lineage: Eukaryota; Metazoa; Cnidaria; Hydrozoa; Anthoathecata; Hydridae.
ACGAUUUGCUUAUGGCAUGACAAUCAAAAAAACGUCACAGGCCGAUACACAUGAGAUUAUUUACCACAUGAUUUUUCACACAAAAUCCAACGUUUAAAUACUUUAUUAAGAACGUCCUUGUUUGCAGGUCUGUUAAACAUUAAUAUUUCGAGUAACUGUAAACUUAAAAAUAACAAUUACUAUAUUUGAGGUUGCUAGAUGAUGUUGGUUUAUAUACUGCUUAUCCAGGUAAUGUUUGGCAAUAUUUUGUUAAAGACAAACCUACACAAAAUCGCAAACAAGUAUAGAAAAGUUGAUCAACAAAACAAUUCACUUCAAAUUUUAAAUUAUGGUUCCCAAAACAACCUAACAGAAAAUUUUAAAAGUUUUGAAAAACUAAAGAAGCAACAUUUUAUCAGAAAGUUAUUGAUACUAACAAAAAAAAAAUUACGAUUAAAAAGAUUAGCGCAAGUUAAAUCAAAAAAAUGUAAUUCAAAUUCAGGAAUGCAAAAAUGUUUUUUUGUAGCAACAUCAAAACCAAAUAUAAGAGUUAUGAAUUAUUGCCCAAAUAAUUUAAAAUGCUUUGGACACUCUAAAUAAAUCAGCUUAUAUCGGCUGAUUUGUUUAUGCUAUGGUUGUAUCUAUUUUUGCUGACAUACAAUAAAGAAUAAAUCUGUUUUCAUUCUCACUCAUUGUAAUGAUUUUGCAUUAUUACGUGUUAAGAAGCUGGCGAGACAAAGUGUAUAUAUUUUUAAGCAACAGUUUUGAAAAAAUUUUAUAAUCUGAUACGUAUCAAUCUGCACUUUAAUGUUUAUGUUGAAGAAUUUGAGAAUGUUGACAUGAUUGUAUAUGAACAGUGACAUGUAUAUGUCCAAAUAAAUUUGUAUGUCCAAAUGAAUUUAAACACGAAGUAGCAGUGUACUCAAAGUAUUAUUUACGGUUUUUUGGCUAAAAACGUGUGAAAAUACCUAAAAGACAUAAAUUUUAUUGUAAAUAUAGUUAUAAAAAUUUAUAAUAAUUGUAAAUAUUUUUAUAUUUAAAUUACUUUAUAAUUACUUUUAAAUACACGUAUCUUGCCUUAGGUCUUAGUUUGAAUACAAGAUAUCUUGGA